Long non-coding RNA from Callithrix jacchus (white-tufted-ear marmoset), 1122 nucleotides. RefSeq lists it as uncharacterized. The record is from RefSeq and is a predicted model, not a curated record. Lineage: Eukaryota; Metazoa; Chordata; Mammalia; Primates; Cebidae.
CUCCUCCCUCAGCCUCCUGAAUACUUGAGAUUACAGGUCCUUGCCACCACGCUCAAGUAAUUUUUUUGUAUUUUUGGAAGAGACUGGGUUUCAUCGUGUUGGCCAGACUGCUUUCGAACUGCUGACAUCAGGUGAUCCGCCUACCUCAGUCUCCCAAAAUGCGGGGAUUACAGGAGUAAGCCACCACACCCAGCCUUAACGAAAUGAUCUGGUUCUGUCUCUCAGGCUGGAGUGCAGUGGUACAAUCGUAGCUUACUGGAGCCUACCACGACUAGUCUUUUUGCAAAGUGACUGGAUAUUCUCAUAAAAUCUAUGUCGAUCCUGAGAGAGAAAUUUAUAAAAAAUCAGGAAUGAAAAGAGGUGAAGAAAUUGCCUCCUCAGGACAGAUCCCCCACGUAAAGUCAAAUCUAUUCUCAGGAAGCCUUCAGAGCCUAUGGUGGGCAGUGACCAGCCCUCUCUUUGAUUUUCAAGGAGACCCAGCUCAGCAAGGUGGAACCCUCAUUUUUAAGUCCAGGUAACAGUAUCCAUUUUAUACACUGCAAUAGGAAUAGAUUGGAUCACAAACCUAUCAACUCUGUUUUACAGCUUGUAGGAGUUCAGCAUGUGAACUUUACAAACAGGCCUUCAGUCAUCCAUGUGUGAUUUAAAAUGGAAUCAGUCAGUUUCAGCUGGACCUUUUGGAAUGUGACCUUCAAUGCUUGAGUGUAAUAUCCUUAUGCAGUGUCUAACCUGCUUUCCCUUCCCAGCCUUUGAGGACUUAGGGAAGCAUAAUGAGGCCCUGAACUAGUGAAGUGCAUGAUCAAGAAGAAUCAGUUGUGAAAAAUGUGAUACAUACUUCCAUUCUGUAUAAAAUUUUACACAAAAUAACAAAAAUGAGUCUGGGCAUGGUGGCUCAUGCCUAUAAUCCCAGCACUUUGGGAGGCUGAGGCGGAUGAGAUCAAGAGAUCAAGACCAUCCUGGUCAACAAGGUGAAACCACGUCUUUACUAAAAAUACAAAAAUUAGCUGGGCAUGGUGGUGCAUGCCUGUAGUCCCAGCUACUCGGGAGGCUGAGGCAGGAGAAUUGCUUGAACCCAGAAGGCGGAGGUUGCAGUGAGCCAAGAUCAUACCAUUGCACUCCAGU